GAGGGUGUAGCUCAGGUGGUAGAGCACAUGUUUUGCAUGCAUGAGGUCCUGGGUUCAAUCCCCAGUAUCUCCU
Molecule: transfer RNA, 73 nt
Organism: Camelus ferus (Wild Bactrian camel)
Lineage: Eukaryota; Metazoa; Chordata; Mammalia; Artiodactyla; Camelidae
Rfam family: tRNA
About the family: Transfer RNA (tRNA) molecules are approximately 80 nucleotides in length. Their secondary structure includes four short double-helical elements and three loops (D, anti-codon, and T loops). Further hydrogen bonds mediate the characteristic L-shaped molecular structure. tRNAs have two regions of fundamental functional importance: the anti-codon, which is responsible for specific mRNA codon recognition, and the 3' end, to which the tRNAs corresponding amino acid is attached (by aminoacyl-tRNA synthetases). tRNAs cope with the degeneracy of the genetic code in two manners: having more than one tRNA (with a specific anti-codon) for a particular amino acid; and 'wobble' base-pairing, i.e. permitting non-standard base-pairing at the 3rd anti-codon position.
Source: Rfam